GAUGAAGAACGUAGCGAAAUGCGAUAAGUAAUGUGAAUUGCAGAAUUCAGUGAAUCAUCGAAUCUUUGAACGCACAUUGCGCCCGCCAGUAUUCUGGCGGGCAUGCCUGUUCGAGCGUCAUUUCAACCAUCAAGCCCCAGGCUUGUGUUGGAGCCCUGCGGCUGCCGCAGCCUCCCAAAACCAGUGGCGGGCUCGCUAUCACACCGAGUGCAGUAGUUUACUCUUCGCUCAGGGCGUGUGGCGGGUGCUAGCCGUAAAACCCCCAACUUCUCAAUGUUGACCUCGGAUCAGGUAGGAAUACCCGCUGAACUUAAGCAUAUCAAUAAGCGGAGGAA
RNAcentral lists this unclassified non-coding RNA (335 nucleotides) under soil metagenome. RNAcentral describes it as "partial contains 5.8S ribosomal RNA, internal transcribed spacer 2, and large subunit ribosomal RNA". The stretch from base 1 to 120 matches the Rfam family "5.8S ribosomal RNA", at positions 35 to 154 of the family's 154-position model. The record is from RNAcentral.